GUGGCUCUUAUUUUAUAAUUUAUUUUUUUAAAGCUGGAUAUGAUUUUUACCAUCAUGCUUGUUAAUUAUUAGAUUGUCUCCAUUUCUUUUCAGGCUCGCACUGAAAGAAUCUUAUAUAUUAUUGAAUGAAAUGGGGAGAAAAGGUAAGAUCAAAGAAUAUUUCUGACUCCUGAAAUAUGGAGUCUUUGGACAUCUUGGGUGGUAUAUCUCUCCUUGGAUGACUGAUCAGACACUACCUUCAAACCUCUCUUUUGAUACGGUGAACCCUAGAGUGUCCCAUGUAGUCCCAGAUAUGUCUUCUUGGAUCCUACUCUUAUCUGAGAUUUUAAGAAAGGGCAACUCCUCCUGAAAGAAGAGGAGAUAAGUCUCUGCCUGCUAGAAGAGAAGCUACUUGGCCAAACAUCACCAUAUAAACUGCAACCUAACCAAGGAA
Long non-coding RNA from Tupaia belangeri chinensis (Chinese tree shrew), 433 nucleotides. RefSeq lists it as uncharacterized. The record is from RefSeq and is a predicted model, not a curated record. NCBI's taxonomy places the organism in Eukaryota, Metazoa, Chordata, Mammalia, Scandentia, Tupaiidae. The transcript has 4 exons.